Long non-coding RNA from Callithrix jacchus (white-tufted-ear marmoset), 2604 nucleotides. The record is from Ensembl. Lineage: Eukaryota; Metazoa; Chordata; Mammalia; Primates; Cebidae.
AUUUGGAUUUAAUUUGGUCGCUAAUGGGAAAAGGGGAUUCUGAGAGAUCAGGGACCACUUCUCGUUAAUCUUUCUAAUCCCCAGGACCUAAUACAGUAUCCGGAGCCUGCUGGAAACUCAAAAACAUUUACUUAAUUGAUGGGUGGGUGGAUGGAGGACGGCGAUGAAAGAUCAGCAUAGAAAUUGACAGAUGGGUUGUGGAUGGUGGAAGAUGAAUGGAUAAAUGGCUGGAGAAAUAGCCAAUGGACAGAUGGAGGGAGGAAAACAACCAGAUGAGACACCUGACCCAGUCCUCGUCCAGGCCUCCUGGGGGAGUGCGGACCCUUCUCCUGUGGCAGGAGAGUUGCAGGGAAGGCAGCGUGGUGCUCUGGCUUGCUCAGUCUGUGGCGGGCUGGUUGUGGUGCCUCUGUCCCCUUCUGACUGGCCCUGGAGGUCGAGGGGAGCGAGGUGGGGCUGGCCUUGCUGUGACCAGUCGGAAAACCCACUGGGCUCACAGCAACUGGCCCUGGGGCCCUCUCAGGGGACCCUCCUCUCUAGGACCCAGAAGCCCCAGGAGGCUCUGUCUCCAGCUCACCCAAACCUCGGGGUGCCCUGUCCCCUGGGGCUUACUCUGCCCUGAUUCUGCCCUGAAGUUGCCACUGUCACCUGGGAAGCAAUGGAGUGCGGGGUGCAGGGGCCCUCAGGGGACAGAACAGUGCCCAGCACGGCCUGUGCAAGGCAGACGUCUUCCCGGCUCAAAGCCAGAGCUGAGGCCGGGCCUGGUGGCUCAUGCCCGUAAGCCAAGCACUUUGGAGGCCAAGGUGGGUGGAUGGCCUGAGGUCGGUGGUUCAAGACCAGCCUGACCAACAUGGUGAAAACUUGUCUUAAAAAAAAAAAAACGAAACAAAGCCGGAGCUGAGAACAGUGCCAGGCAGCAGCCCUGCCCAGCUCCCUCCAUUUGUCUUCCUCCUCCUCCCAAGCUGCGGGUGGUGUGGUUGGAGCAGGGUGGUGCUGGGGCUAGAGCGGGAGGGGUGCUCCCUGCAUGGCCUCAGGCACCUGCCAAGGUUCUCUCUGCUUGGGUGUCUGGUUUUCCAAGCUCGGCUUUUGCUCAAGGAGCCCAGCCUUUGGACGUCCACUUGUAUUCAUGUCCUCUGCUUCCUCUCUGUCCCUCCCUGGGGCACUGCAUUGGUGCUGGAGUGUGAGGAGAAGGCCAGCUGGGGGUGCAGGCCGGGACAGCUCUGAGUGGCCCACACAGGCCGGCCCUCCCUGCAGCGAAGCAGCCAUGUGCCCACAGGUGCGGCGAGCGAGGCCUGAAGCUCUGCCUCGUGCUGGGCAGCAGAAGCUCUGCAUGGUCUGGAGCUGCCCUAGCCACCCAGCCACCGUGAGGCCUCUCCACCUGCCCUAGGGGCUUUCGUGGGGUCCCCUGGGUGGCAUCUGGGAAGCACUCAGCUGGUGCCCUCCUCUGGCCUGCCCUUCUCCGGAGAGGUCCUGGGCUUCUGGGGCCUGUGCUCCUGCAGGAGGAUAGUCGACAACCCCAAUAAUUGCUCUCCAGCUCCAGGCAGUGAUGAAUGGACAGAAGCUGAGUGGUGCCGGGAAUCGAUACCAUAAUAUCUUUAUACCAGCGGCAGAGGAUGGGGUGAGGAAAUGGCCCAGACUUGGAACCUCCCUCACCGUCUGCGGAGGCCUCCCAUCAGGCUUGGGCGGGGACUGCAGGAACCUGUGGACGUGGGUGAGAGGAAGCCUCCCGGAGCACAGAGACCCCUUGCUGUCCCUCUGUGUCUUUGGGACUUGGUUCUUCUCACGAAAGCUGUGACAGGCUCUGCAGUAUGGCUGGCCACAGGAGCAUGUUACAGGGAGACUGGGCAGCUGAAAGUUGGGGGGCCCAAAAGUGCCCCCAGUGGUGGUCAGGGUGUGUGCCCUAGCACCUGGGACUUCAGACAGAACGGUGGGACUCAGGCCUCUGACCUCACCUUGUUCCAAGAGAGGCAACGUUGCUGAUUCCCAGGAGACUCUGGUGUACACUUAAGGUCGCACCUCCCUUUGGUGUGGGAGCCGUCUCUCAGGAUGGGGGCUCUGAGCCGUGCUUCACUACUGAGAGGGUGGGGGUGUGGGCAGCCGUCCCUGUCUCUCCGGCGCAGUGGUGGCUAAGGUGGUUCUGACUGUGCCUCCCGGGGCGUGCUGUGCAGAGGGACUGAGAGGGCCAUGCCUGGGCACCUGGACAGUGGCACUCUGCGCCAGGACCCAUCCAUCCUUCGAGAGGAAAACCAGAAUACUGCCUACUGAGGCAAAGCAUCCCUCCCGAUGCUCUUUCAUCCUUUAGAGCACCUCUGGUGAGAAAUUGACUUCUUUGCCAUUGCUCAGGAGAUGAAAUUUCGGAGACGAAAAUAAAUGAUGCUAUUUCCCGGCUCAUCUUGUGAGCAAUGUCUCCUUCUUUCAAAAAGAAGCAUCACUGUCUCCUGUUCGCUCAGCUGCGGGGGUCACUUGCUGGUUCAGAUAAGUCAUCCAUGAUCAGAUGCUGGCGGGCUCUCCUGGCCCACAGAGCUGGCAGGGGCCUGCUCCCCAUCUGUCUGCGGGCCGGUGGCAUACUCGCCGACACCCUCUGUGGUCAAAGUCUGGGCUCUGAGC